AGCGAACGCUGGCGGCAGGCUUAACACAUGCAAGUCGAGCGGGGCGUAGCAAUACGUCAGCGGCAGACGGGUGAGUAACGCGUGGGAACGUACCUUUUGGUUCGGAACAACCCGAGGGAAACUUGGGGCUAAUUACCGGAUAAGCCCUUACGGGGAAAGAUUUAUCGCCGAAAGAUACGGCCCGCGGUCUGAUUAGCUAGUUGGUUGAGGUAACGGCUCACCAAGGCGACGAUCAGUAGCUGGCUGAGAGGAUGAUCAGCCACAUUGGGACUGAGACACGGCCCAAACUCC
RNAcentral lists this ribosomal RNA (291 nucleotides) under uncultured bacterium. RNAcentral describes it as "partial 16S ribosomal RNA". It matches the Rfam family "Bacterial small subunit ribosomal RNA", at positions 29 to 339 of the family's 1533-position model. The record is from RNAcentral.